This 72-nucleotide transfer RNA is filed under the name Roseburia faecis. RNAcentral describes it as "tRNA-Val". It matches the Rfam family "tRNA". Rfam says of the family: Transfer RNA (tRNA) molecules are approximately 80 nucleotides in length. RNAcentral also lists the same sequence under 1 other name. Lineage: Bacteria; Bacillati; Bacillota; Clostridia; Lachnospirales; Lachnospiraceae. The record is from RNAcentral.
GGAUCUUAGCUCAGCUGGGAGAGCAUCUGCCUUACAAGCAGAGGGUCACAGGUUCGAGCCCUGUAGGUCCCA